UGCAAAUUGCUUUGAAUCGCCAUUUGUCUUGACCUCAGCAGUACACCAUUAGGCAAGAGAGGAAAAGAUGUAGCUUUACAACAGCUACAUCUGUGCUGAAAUCUACACUGGAUGCUGGACCAACACUUGCGACAUCUAGUGGCUGAUCCUUGAAAGGGCUAUCAAAAUGAAGGCAUGGGAAAAAAAAUGCAAGGAAAAACGAUGGCGUGAAUUCUGAAUUGCCAAGGGUAACCGAAAAAACAUACUUGGUGACUUGGAUACUUGCUUUCCAAAGCUGGCUCACCCAUGGGUGAAUGUAAGCCAUCAAGUGCCAGCAGUGGAGUAUGAGGAGAAGAAGAAUGGAAUUAACGUUUCAGCAGGCCAGACGUCAAAGUUGCAUCCAUGGGACAGGAUGAGAAAAGAAGCAGGAAGUCUUAGGGGCCAUUGGCACUUCCUUUUUCUAACUGGCUAAUUCUGCUCCCCUGACAUCUUCCAGGGCUGGCCGAAGGUUAUGGACAAACAAGUCAAGAUGGUGGCCGCCAUGGUGAGAUUGAAACUCCACUUUGGUUUUUGUGCACUUCGAUUGCACAAUUGUGACGUGGCCAUACUCUGGGGAAACCCCUUGACAGACGUCUCAGUCUGCUGUGGUUCUUUCUUGGGUAACUGAUACCAUCACCUGACUUUCCUCGUGCUCAGCAAUGACUAUGAUUUCCUUGUUAAACUUUUUCUGGAUGCCUCAGCUUAUGAUUCCUGUCCUUAUCUCCAUUGGAUCUGAGCGUUUUGCUUUGAUGAAAGUGCACAUUGGAUAGGAGAAACUGGUUUAGAUCAAAAUCAGGUGACACAGAAACUUUGCAGAGGUCACAGAGACAAGAGCAUGGUUUCUCUGUCUAGAACAGUG
Long non-coding RNA from Crotalus tigris (Tiger rattlesnake), 877 nucleotides. RefSeq lists it as uncharacterized. The record is from RefSeq and is a predicted model, not a curated record. The transcript is spliced from 3 exons. NCBI's taxonomy places the organism in Eukaryota, Metazoa, Chordata, Lepidosauria, Squamata, Viperidae.